This is a non-coding RNA of Castor canadensis (American beaver), 1695 nucleotides long. Lineage: Eukaryota; Metazoa; Chordata; Mammalia; Rodentia; Castoridae. The record is from RefSeq and is a predicted model, not a curated record.
CAGAUAUUCAUAGGAACCAACAGGAAAGAUAGGAGAAAAUGCUGUACACAGUAUUUGCAUUGCUAAGGGAGUUGGUGCAAUUUCUGGUAUGAAGGCAGCCCUUUAUCUGCAACAUGGAGACUUUAUCAAUGAAAUCUUCUGUGAAGAGCAUUAAUAGAAUAUCUUCCUGUCCUCCAGCCCCAGCUCAAAGGUGCUGCCAAGUACAGAUAAAAGCACUGGAGUAAUCUCAAUUGACUAUUGUCAGCCUCCAUAAUCUCACCAUCAGUGAAAUGAAUAUUUGGUUGCAGAGGGGAGACAAGCAUCUAUAAUGUUUUCCAUGUGUAAUGGCCAUUUGGAUUCUAUUGCACACAUUUUUUCUCUCCGGUUAUAAACUGUCUAAACCCAAUUUCCCCCUUUUGAAAGUGGAAUCAUGUUUGAUUUAAUAGUAAUGUUAUAGAGCUAAGGAGAGUUUAAGAGUCAUUCUGGUGUUAAAACCCGCUAAGCCUUUAAAUAAAUUGUUGUUAUCUUGAAACUUUCCAAACUCAAAUUGCAUUCACUCACAUGGCUUGUGGAGUCUUGAUAUAUAAAGAAGGACAACUAACGAUUCUGCAAACUCCUCAUAACUCUGUGGCCACUCUUGCAGCUUGCAAAUACAGAACAGAAUUCAGCUCUAGGACUUGCAUUGGCAAAUGUUCACAUGAGUAUUAAUUAACUUGCUGUUUGAAAUAAUGUCCCAAAUUACAGGAUACUUCAUUUUGAAAAAUUGGGCAUUUUAGCAUUACAUCUCCUCUGAAUGACUGCAAUAAUCUCUGAGCUGGUCCAUUUUUCACCAUAAUCCUGGGCCACUGUUCCUAAAAUAAUGUUUCCAUCAGCAUCCUCCUUUGCUUAGAAGCCCAGCAUGACUCUUUUGUUGCCUUUCACAGAAGUAUAAUCUUUGCUUUGCAUUACAGGCCCUUCCCUGUCUGCUUCCCACUCUGCUUUGGCUGUCCCUUCCCCAACCUUUCCUGUGUCAGUUAACCCCAUAUUCCUGCCCCUUGGCCUUGCUUAGUUGUUCACUCUACUCCAGAGCCCCUUCCCUACUUCCAUACUCUGGGAAUCUCAAGUCAUCCCCAAAUGUCUUUCAGUAAGAACUUUUCUAAACACAUUCCCUUUAGAAUUAAUCAUUUUAUCCUUUUGUACUGAGGUGGAAAUGAAUGUGUGGAGGCACAGAGAGGUUUACACAUUUAUUAAGUGUCACAGUUGGGGUGGGCAAUAAAAAAAAGAAAAGCAAUGCAAAAACAUAGUUGGAUCUCAACCAUCACUGUCAAAUUUAGGGACAAAAAAUAAUCUUUGUGAGGACUCGCCAUUGAACUGUGCCUGGAAAGAAGGUUGUAUACAUGGAGUCUUAGAAAUAGAAGACCCUCAGAUUUGAUAUUGACAAUACCUCUCUCUUUCAGGUGGACCUGAAAUCAUGUCACUGAGGAGGUGUGUAGUGUGAUCGAAAUUGCAUGUCGUCUAGUUAUUAGCAGAAGAGGAACAGCCACCCUUUCUCUUAACUGUGCCAAGAGGUCUUGUCCUGUCAGAGAGAAUCGUUUUCUUCUAGAAAGGUUGAUUGCAGCUGGAGUAAACUUAUCUACAAAGUUUCUUCAUAAACAGAAGAGGGUAUGUUGGCCAACGUGAAAGCAAGAAGACCUCAAUGAAUGUGAAAAGUAAUUAGGGGAAAGAGCCAACAUAAAA